UACGGAGGGUGCAAACGUUGCUCGGAAUUAUUGGGCGUAAAGCGCACGUAGGCGGUUCGCUAUGUCGGAUGUGAAAGCCCCGAGCUUAACUUGGGAAUUGCGCUUGUGACUGGCGAGCUGGAGUGUGGCAGAGGGAGGUGGAAUUCCACGUGUAGCAGUGAAAUGCGUAGAGAUGUGGAGGAACACCGAUGGCGAAGGCAGCCUCCUGGGCCAGCACUGACGCUCAUGCACGAAAGCGUGGGGAGCAAACAGG
This 253-nucleotide ribosomal RNA is filed under the name uncultured bacterium. RNAcentral's name for it is "partial 16S ribosomal RNA". It matches the Rfam family "Bacterial small subunit ribosomal RNA", at positions 524 to 776 of the family's 1533-position model. The record is from RNAcentral.